Cotesia glomerata is the source of this 543-nucleotide long non-coding RNA. RefSeq lists it as uncharacterized. The record is from RefSeq and is a predicted model, not a curated record. NCBI's taxonomy places the organism in Eukaryota, Metazoa, Arthropoda, Insecta, Hymenoptera, Braconidae. The transcript has 3 exons.
CACACAAUAAACCUGUAAAUACUGGUCUUACACCGAUUAGGUCAGCUUUUGCUAAUACCUCGUAGCAGACUAUACUCUCAUUCGAGUGUAAAUUGUAAAAUGCUUCGUUGAUCCAUCCUUGGACGCUGUUACCACCAUACUCUCUCCAAACAGAAAAAUUAUUUGAAUCUGUUGGAUGAAUAUUUUGUAAGUGAUGGUCCCUGAAAUUAGUAUGAGCUAAUUUAUCAACAAUGUAAUAAUGGAAUUGUUGUUACUGUCAAUACUGGAAUUCAGUACACGAACAAAAGCCAUUGGCGCUAAAAUCAGUAUAUAUCAUAUUAUACACAAGGAAUUUUAAUAAUGAAGUAUUUCCGUGAAUUGAAUAUUUGUCAUCAAGAAGAAAUCAAAUCUGGUAGUCCUGCUAGCAGUGCAUUUAAUAUGACUGAGUUGACUUCUUGGUCAGAAAAUGAUUUGUUAACAUGCCAAGAAAACCAAAAGUGUCAGUGGAUGAAGCAACAGAAGUAUUAAAAGAAUUCAUAUUGUUGGGUAAUUUCAAGGAUAAUA